Molecule: ribosomal RNA, 253 nt
Filed under: uncultured bacterium
Lineage: Bacteria
Description: partial 16S ribosomal RNA
Rfam family: Bacterial small subunit ribosomal RNA
Source: RNAcentral
GACGUAGGAGGCGAGCGUUGUCCGGAUUCAUUGGGCGUAAAGAGCACGCAGGCGGUUUGGCAAGUCGGAUGUGAAAACCCGGAGCUCAACUCCGGACCUGCAUCCGAAACUGCCCGACUAGAGGUAGGUAGGGGAGAUCGGAAUUCCUGGUGUAGCGGUGAAAUGCGCAGAUAUCGGAAGGAACUCCGGUGGCGAAGGCGAGCUGCUGGACCUCUUCUGACGCUGAGGCGCGAAAGCUAGGGGAGCAAACGGG